Molecule: long non-coding RNA, 1089 nt
Filed under: Oryctolagus cuniculus (rabbit)
Lineage: Eukaryota; Metazoa; Chordata; Mammalia; Lagomorpha; Leporidae
Description: lncRNA (ENSOCUG00000032117.1)
Source: RNAcentral
AUGGCACCCUGCCCUGGGCCGGCAGUGGGGCGCCUGCUCUGCCUCAGCGGCCCCGUCCCGCCUCACCGCCGCGUCCUCUACGUGCCUCAGCAGCCCCGUCCCGCCUCACCUCCACUUCCCGUACGUGCCUCAGCGGCCCCGUCCCGCCUCACCUCCACUUCCUGUACGUGCCUCAAUGGCCCCGUCCCGCCUCACCUCCACGUCCUGUACGUGCCUCAGCGGCCCCGUCCCGCCUCACCUCCACGUCCUGUACGUGCCUCAGCGGCCCCGUCCCGCCUCAACACCACCAGGCGCUGCACACCUCCGUCCACGAGCGCCUCGGAGACGAACGUUCAAGCUGCCGCUUCUCAGGACCCCUCUCCCCUUCUCACGCACAACCACUGCCCUGGCGCUCGCGGGAAGACAGGGCAAGAGCAGCCCCCGGAGCGCUGCACGUCAGGUACAGAAGUCAACGCUGGUCCCCACCACGAGAUGUUCUGUCUUCCCUGCUACAACAGGCUGCCUGCCCCGAAAGCACAGUCACUAACAAGAAAACUGAUACGGACUCGCUCCCAAGACACAAACACUCCUGACGGCCAACAAGGAAGCCAACAACUCAGUCAGAAAUGGACAGAGACCUGGACAGCUCACCAAACAUGUGCUGCUGUCACAGAUGCUCCUAGCCCACGAUCAGAGAGGGACAAACUCAAGAACACUCCGACCGCAUCAGAAGGGCUCCCAUCCAGAGCACUGGUACCAAGUGCCAGCAGUGACAGGGAACAGCGCGAGUGCUCACCCACCGCAGGUGGCAGUGCAGGCGGCCCGGCCCCAUGGGAGGCGGUGCAGGUCUCCGAUGGAGUUACACACGCUCCUUCAUGUGAUCCAACAGCGUGCUCCCUGGUGCUCCCCUACAUGAACGGCAACUCAACUACUGUAAUUUCCCAAACUCAACCACCAAGAUGCCCUUUGUGGUGCAUCCAUGCAAUGAGCUGUAAUUCAGGGAAGAGUGAAGUAAACCCCCAGCCACGGAAAGACAUGGAAGAAUUUAAAAUGCAUGUUGGAAAGCGAAAGAAGUGGUCUGAACAGGCUGUGUAUGCGCCACCCUGGUAG